RNAcentral lists this ribosomal RNA (497 nucleotides) under uncultured bacterium. RNAcentral describes it as "partial 16S ribosomal RNA". It matches the Rfam family "Bacterial small subunit ribosomal RNA", at positions 28 to 507 of the family's 1533-position model. The record is from RNAcentral.
GACGAACGCUGGCGGCGUGCUUAACACAUGCAAGUCGAACGGUGAAGCGCCUUCCUUUUUGGUGGGUGUGGAUGAGUGGCGAACGGGUGAGUAACACGUGAGUCACCUGCUCCCUCCUUCUGGACAACCGCAUGACAGUGUGGCUAAUACGGGAUAUUUUGGAUCUGUUGCAUGAUGGGUCUGGGACAGUUUUUGUUUCGGUGGGGGAUGGAUUCGCGGCGUAUUAGCUUGUUGGUGGGGUGAUGGCCUACCAAGGCGGCGAUGCGUAGCCGCCCUGAGAGGAGGGUCGACGGUCACAGUGCUAAGAAGAGGCGCAGCAGACUCCGAGGGGAGGCAGCAGGGAGUAAUAUGGCACGGUGGGAGGAAGGCUGAUGCAGCGACGCCGCGGGGAGGAUGGUGGCCGUCGCGUUAUGAACCGCUUUCGGGAGUGAAGCAGUGCUGCAUCGUCUGUGCGUGGGUUGACGGUACCUGGACAAGAAGCGCCGGCUAACUACGUG